UUAGAGCACGGACAGUUGAGCUGGGACUCGAGGGCAAGGAGGUGACGCAGAGGCAGCGGCAGCAAAAAAGGACCCGAACGGAGGCGCGGCAGAGGGCAGAAAGACGGGCCGCGAAUAGAGCCGGACUUUGAUCCUGUGCCACGGAGAGGACGUAGCGGAGGUCGGGCAGGAGGAGAGGUACAAGACGGCUCUCUACUGCAGGGUCUAUUGAGAGAGUCUAGCGCAGAGCGACGAGGUGCUGCAGCGCGGAGAACUGCCAGUGGGCUGGUGGAGGAGAGACGGACGGCACGGUGGGGAGUGCUGCGCCAAGAGGAUGGACAUCGAAUCCAGGUGACGGUAUCCUGAGAAGAGCUGAAAGACAAAGUAGAACGCAAGGUGUGCUAUCUUCACAAGAUGAAAAUCAGCAUAUAAAAGGACCCUCUGUGAACAAUUGGGAGUACCGCCUAUGGAAGAAGUAACUGGAUGUUACGAAACGCGUCUAGGACUCCCUGAUUAAGUGAUUGCUGAAUAGUUCAGACCUUCGCCCGGCAUUUCCAGAACACUCGGCACCUGUUACCAGCAAACCGUGGAAGUUACUAUCACUCGGUGCCGGAGAGAACAGUGUUUCCUGGAAGCCGGAGCGGCUGUACGGCUGACCGCUCGAGCGGGUUUUAGCAACAGUGUUAGCCCGCUCGUUGGAACUGUCGGGCUGCCCGUACUGAAACCUCCCAUCAGUGUGAUUCAUCCUGCCAUACGGACAGAAGCCGCCAACUCAUUUGCACCACACCGCUACGAUCCACAGGUAACAGUUGUUUAUUACACUGUGCAAUCCCGGGGACGCUCGGGCCACACUUAAAGCUCCUCAAACUGGCAAACAGGUCCCGUAUUAUAAGCACAAGGGACAGAGUGAGCAAAGGUACCUGUGACUCUUUACAUUUGUGGUACACAGUCUUUGGACAAAAAUAUCAGUGUCCUCUGGACUCUAUCAUUGGGUGCAAAUUAAUACGGAGGAUCCUAUUACGGACUGAACUUGUGGCAUAAUUUUUUGCCAGUCUGGACAUUUUACUAUUCAGCACACUUAUUUUUAUGAAAGAGAACCAUCUUUUUAUAAUUGUUAUGUAGUUGAGGGUGUUGUGACCACACCAGAUCUUAA
Pseudophryne corroboree (corroboree frog) is the source of this 1132-nucleotide long non-coding RNA. RefSeq lists it as uncharacterized. NCBI's taxonomy places the organism in Eukaryota, Metazoa, Chordata, Amphibia, Anura, Myobatrachidae. The record is from RefSeq and is a predicted model, not a curated record. The transcript has 3 exons.